GAUGAACGCUGGCGGCGUGCUUAACACAUGCAAGUCGAACGAAGCUGUUAAAAGGAAGUCUUCGGAUAGAAUUUUAACAGACUUAGUGGCGGACGGGUGAGUAACGCGUGGAUAACCUGCCUUAUACAGGGGGAUAACGGAGAGAAAUUUCCGCUAAGACCGCAUAAGACCACAGCACCGCAUGGUGCGGGGGUAAAAUAUUAAUAGGUAUAAGAUGGAUCCGCGUCCGAUUAGCUAGUUGGUGAGGUAGAGGCUCACCAAGGCGACGAUCGGUAGCCGGCCUGAGAGGGUGAACGGCCACAUUGGGACUGAGACACGGCCCAAACUCCUACGGGAGGCAGCAGUGGGGAAUAUUGGACAAUGGGGGAAACCCUGAUCCAGCGACGCCGCGUGAGUGAAGAAGUAUUUCGGUAUGUAAAGCUCUAUCAGCAGGGAAGAAAAUGACGGACCUGAUAAGAGCCCCGG
RNAcentral lists this ribosomal RNA (465 nucleotides) under Lachnoanaerobaculum saburreum. RNAcentral describes it as "bacterial SSU rRNA". It matches the Rfam family "Bacterial small subunit ribosomal RNA", at positions 28 to 496 of the family's 1533-position model. Lineage: Bacteria; Bacillati; Bacillota; Clostridia; Lachnospirales; Lachnospiraceae. The record is from RNAcentral.